GGCUUGCAGAUGUUAAUUGCAGGUCUGGCCUGCCCAAUGAGUAAUUAAAUGGCUGCGGUAUUUUGACCGUGCAAAGGUAGCAUAAUCAUUAGUUUUUUAAUUGAAAGCUUGUAUGAAAGGUUUGAUGAAAGGAUAUCUGUCUCUGUAGAAAUUUUUUUGGAAUUUUAUUUUUAAGUUAAAAAGCUUAAAUUUAUAUAGAAGACGAGAAGACCCUAUAGAGUUUGAUAUUUGUGUCAGAUUAUAAUUUAAGGAAAAUGUAAGAUUGGAUUUGUUUCAAGUAUUUAGCUGGGGUGGUAGAAAAAUUAGAUUAACUUUUUUUAUAUAGUUACAUUUAUUUAUGAGUAUAAGAUCCUGGAGUUAAGAUUGAAAGACAAAAUUACCUUAGGGAUAACAGCGUAAUUUUUUUUAGAGUUCUUAUCGAAUAAAAAGAUUGCGACCUCGAUGUUGGAUUAAAAUUAAUUGCUGGUGUAGAUGCUAGAAGAUUAGGUCUGUUCGACCUUUAAAAUUUUACAUGAUCUGAGUUUAGACCGGUGUGAG
This 537-nucleotide ribosomal RNA is filed under the name Trigonopterus sp. 877 AR-2022a. RNAcentral's name for it is "partial large subunit ribosomal RNA". It matches the Rfam family "Bacterial large subunit ribosomal RNA", at positions 1819 to 2625 of the family's 2925-position model. The record is from RNAcentral. Lineage: Eukaryota; Metazoa; Arthropoda; Insecta; Coleoptera; Curculionidae.